ACAGUUGUAACUCAGAGGAUAGAGUAUUUGAUUGCGAAUCAAAAAGUCAUAGGUUCAAUUCCUAUCAACUGUA
Molecule: transfer RNA, 73 nt
Filed under: Candidatus Zinderia insecticola CARI
Lineage: Bacteria; Pseudomonadati; Pseudomonadota; Betaproteobacteria; Burkholderiales; Oxalobacteraceae
Description: tRNA-Arg (GCG) (tRNA-Arg-GCG-1-1)
Rfam family: tRNA
About the family: Transfer RNA (tRNA) molecules are approximately 80 nucleotides in length. Their secondary structure includes four short double-helical elements and three loops (D, anti-codon, and T loops). Further hydrogen bonds mediate the characteristic L-shaped molecular structure. tRNAs have two regions of fundamental functional importance: the anti-codon, which is responsible for specific mRNA codon recognition, and the 3' end, to which the tRNAs corresponding amino acid is attached (by aminoacyl-tRNA synthetases). tRNAs cope with the degeneracy of the genetic code in two manners: having more than one tRNA (with a specific anti-codon) for a particular amino acid; and 'wobble' base-pairing, i.e. permitting non-standard base-pairing at the 3rd anti-codon position.
Source: Rfam by way of RNAcentral